This 102-nucleotide ribosomal RNA is filed under the name uncultured bacterium. RNAcentral's name for it is "partial 16S ribosomal RNA". It matches the Rfam family "Bacterial small subunit ribosomal RNA", at positions 1402 to 1501 of the family's 1533-position model. The record is from RNAcentral.
UCACGAAAGUGGAUUGUACUAGAAGUCCGCAGGCUGACCCGCAAGGGGAGCAGCGGCCCAAGGUAUGAUUCAUGAUUGGGGUGAAGUCGUAACAAGGUACCC